CCAAUCAGAGAACACCUUGUCCCUUGUCCCCUGCUGCAAGGACAGACAGGAGUUUUACUUGUCUCCAGCUGAUGGAGCCAGGCAAAGCAGGCACCAGCAACAAGAUCCUAGUGGCAACUUUGAAUUUAGAGCAUUCCAGGGGCAGCUGUGGCAUAAAUAAGAACACCUGCUGUAUUCUCCCAGCAAACACUGGGGCCAUGGUGUUUCUCCUCUAAUGACACCUCAUCAAUCCGCUCCUAUCAACGUCCCAGCCAUGGAGGUGACUUGGAGUGCUCAGAAGCUAUAGAAAAUGUCAACGUUUUGGGAGAAAAGUUGAGCAAAUGAGAGCGCUCACAGAUAUGGAUUUGCCAGCUGAAACGUGAAGGUGGCAUCUCGCAGCAGCAGGGUGGUGAACAGCCAAAUCAAGCAGGGGUGAAGGCAGCAUCUUUCACUGCAUGGCCCUUUCCAUAAUCCGCUUCUGGGUGGAACAUAAAGGCGCUUCCAGAGCAGACAAAUGAAGGAUACUUCAUGAUGAUGACCAUGAGGAAAACAUUACCAGUCCAUUAUGCAGCACUUCAG
Pezoporus occidentalis (night parrot) is the source of this 558-nucleotide long non-coding RNA. RefSeq lists it as uncharacterized. The transcript has 4 exons. The record is from RefSeq and is a predicted model, not a curated record. NCBI's taxonomy places the organism in Eukaryota, Metazoa, Chordata, Aves, Psittaciformes, Psittacidae.